CGGAUUNUAGGCUGAAACUACGCCUACAUGAAGCUGGAGUUGCUAGUAAUCGCGAAUCAGCAUGUCGCGGUGAAUACGUUCCCGGGCCUUGUACACACCGCCCGUCACACCAUGAGAGUUGGCAAUACCCAACGUACGUGAUCUAACCCGCAAGGGAGGAAGCGUCCUAAGGUAGGGUCAGCGAUUGGGGUGAAGUCGUAACAAGGUAUC
Molecule: ribosomal RNA, 210 nt
Filed under: uncultured bacterium
Lineage: Bacteria
Description: partial 16S ribosomal RNA
Rfam family: Bacterial small subunit ribosomal RNA
Source: RNAcentral